GUCUGCACACAAGUGUCUGACUGUAAAUAGAAGCAUGCUUCUUUGUAUAAUUAAUGGGACUUCCUCACCCUUUCCCUUCUCACCCAAUAUUAAAACUGAAAGGCACUGUACAGCUUAACGAAGAUUGAUAAGAAUCUAUACUGUCAACUGAACUGCUACUUGAAUCUCUACGCCUUUGAGCAGUUAAGUCUAGCAAAAGAGGGAUGUGACUGAAGGCAUUUCUGGCUGAUCUACACUAAGAGGUCUGAGGAAAGGAUAGGCUGUGCACAGAUUGUGACUGGAUGGUGGAAUGGCGUGAAGUUAACCUUGGUGACUUAACAAAAUAACUGAAAAAGAUUAAAGACUGAAUUAUCGACCCAUUUCCGUGUUUCUCUCUCCGCUCCUGGACCAUACACGAAUGUACCGACAGCACGUCUUGACAACACGAAGACGUCUGGACCCAGCAGAGAGAGAGAGAGAAAGCAGCUGACCCUGAGAUUCAAUAGUCAGGUGCCUGGGAUCUUGUCAGCAUCCAUGAUCUGCAGCUGCACUCAAACUAUGUUCUUCACGGGCAGUCGGUUCUCACUCUUCUCUGUGGGCGACGCGAUUCCUCGCUGGUGACACUGACUGAAGCGUCGCAGGAGUUCGAAACACUGAGACAGCAGGCACAGCUGUCUCUCUAUCUUUUUGUCUCUCCCUUUUGAUAGUGAGUAAGAAUCUGUUGGCUCCAAGUCAGAGGAACUCAAAUAAGUGACACUGCAGACUGUAACAUCAAAAUAGCGGGCUUUUGGCCUUCCCUCUCGCUGUGGCAGGACUGAUAUCUCUCACUCCUUCAUUAGUGAGAGAGAGGGCCUGUUGAGAUGCUGAAGUGUUGGGAUGGUCAGUAGGUUUUGAUUGACUCUAGAUCAUAGCUUCUGGGGGCUUGCUAUUGCUUGAAUGGUGGGUGGUGCUGAUGCAUUUGCUGAAGCUAGACAGGGAGGGGGAGGGGAAAGGGUUGAUGCUUUUGCUGCUACUUAUGUGUGUGGGGGAGAGGGUGGCCUUUGGGGUUCAAACGUUUUUCUGUCAUUCGUUCUUCGGAAUUUUGUUCUCUGUUUGCAAAGAGUAAGGAUUUCAGGUUGUAUACUGUAUAUGUGCUCUGAUUUUAAACUGAGCCUUUGAAUCAUCGAACUGGGUGUAUAUUCAUGGUCAUCGACUGCUGUAGUACAUCCACUUCAAAAUUUAAUGUGUUGUGCAAUAGAGAUGCUUCCCUGCACACCAUUUUUGUAGCACAUUGUUAUUAGAGUUACUAUCGUCUUCCUGUCAGCUUGAACCAGUCUGGCCUUUCUCCUCCAACCUCUCUCAUUAACAUGACAUUUUUGUCCCACAGAGCUGCCGCUCACUAGAUAUAUUUUUGUUUUUUGCACCAUUCCCUGUAAACCCUAGGGCAUGGGGUCCCAACCUAGGGUCCAUGGACCCCUUGCUUAAUGAUAUUAGUCCAUGCCAUUAAAAAAAAACCUUGGGAUCCCCUGCUCUAGAGACUGUUGUCCGUGAAAAUCCCAGGAGAUCCUCCAGUCACCCUACCUGGCACCAACAAUCAUUCAAUGGUCAGAGUCACUUCGAUGACAUUUCAUCCCCAUUCUGAUAUUUGGUCUGAAGAACAACUGAACCUCUUGACCAUAUCUGCAUGCUUUUAUGCAUGGAGUUGCUGCCACAUAAUUGGCUGAUUAGAUUUUGCUUUAACGACCAAGUGUUUCUAAAUAAUAAAGUGGCUAAUGAGUGUGUAUUUUUCAUUCAAGCUUCAAUAAUGAGGGAGAAAAAGAAACAAGAACAGACCUCCAAAAUAUGGGGCUUAUUUUCAAACUACCAGAAUAAGAGCUAACAGGCUGUCUUCCUGUCUCUAGGACAAGCCAGGCUUGAUUCGCCAGGGGCCCAGUGUUUUUUUCGUACUUUGUUUUCAAAAUUAAAAAAAAACAAUGAAAUCAACAAGAACAUACCAGCUCAGACAUGUGUAAAAAUGAAAUAAGCAAAAAAAAAAGGGACAUAACAUUAGAGGGGUGCCUAUUGUACAAAGUGCUCAAAAAUACUAAACAUUAAAUCUCAAAUGAGGGCCGUGAGAAAUCAGAUGGGCGGAAUUUGCUCAUCCGCCCCCGGCCUCAUCCAGGUAGGCAAGAAAUGGAUCCCAGAUAGCUGAAAACUUUUUAAUUGAAUUGGUUCUCAAGAACCUGAGUUUCUCCAUCUGUAUGACUGAGGUCAUGUCAGCCAUCCAUCUCCGAAAGGAAGGGGGAGAGGGUGAUUUCCAUUCCCUCAAGAUAAGUCUUUUCGCGACAAUCAUCCUCAGCAUCAGAGACUGUUGUAUGGCUGUAGAGAAGCAUAGAGUAGAUUGUGAACAGCCAAAGAUGGCGAGACCAGCUUCCAAGGGGAAGGAUCUUUCAUAGGCCUUUGAGUACCAGUCAAAUAUUUUGGACCAAAAUCCAGUCAAUGAUGGCAAAACCAAAAGGUGUGUGACAACAUGGCCUCCAUCCCUUGGCAUCUAUCACACAUUGGUGAGACAGAAGGGUAAAUCUGUGCGAUUUAAGUUUAGAGUAAUGGAGAUAAUGGACAAAUUUAAACUGAAUCAGUUGGUGUCUGUUGUUAACAGAGCAAGCCUGUAUCAUAGACAAACUCUUGUCCCAGGCAGCUUCAGAUAAUUCAAUGCCCAACUCCUCUCUCCAGGCAUCUGUAAUCUUCACAGUAGACGCUACAGUACAAUCAUCAAACAAACGUACAAACUUAGAAAUGAGAUGCCUGGAGUCAGGAGGGUUCUUUAAAAUAUCAAAAAAUAUAUGCUUCCCUGGAAGGAUUUCAAAAUUACAAAUCUUAGAUUGAACGUAGUGUCUAAUUUGUAAGUAAUGAAAAAAGUGCGAAUGAGGCAGCUCAAAUUUCUCUUUCAGCAGACUAAAUGUUGCAAACCAUCCCUCUAUGUACGGGUCUUCAAUAGAAACUAGACACUUCUCCCUCCAAGCAUGGUAGGUUCUAUCUGACCAUGAGGGUAGAAAGGAGUGAUUGAAACAGAAUGGUAUUUGUACAGAGGUCUCUGGUAAAUUCAGAACGUUCCUAAUCUGAUUUAGGAUUCUGACGGAAGUUUUCAAAACAAAACUUAAACUUUUUGAAGUCCCAGGCUUUUCUAACUUAGAGAACAGCAUGGCUGGCAAGGAGGAAUUGACAACAGAGUUAGACUCCAUACAUAGCCAUAAGCGAGCCCCAGGGGAUAGGUUAUGCAGAGCCCCUUUUGCCAAAACAUUAAAGCCCUAGCAUUGACAGCCCAAUAAUAGUGUCUAAAUACAGGUAAUCCCAGCCCUCCUUCAGACUUGGGCUUUUGUAAAUGAAUUUUCAAAAUCCUGUGAUUCUUUUAAUUCCAGAUAUAAGACAAUAUUAUGGAGUCCAAUUCUUUAAAGAAGGCUGAUGUAAGAAAAAUGGGGAGAUUUUGACAAAGAUAGAGAAACCUAGGAAGGGAAACCAUUUUAGUUGAAUUUAUAUGACCAAUCAUGGACAGAGGUAGGGUUUUCCAACUUCCUAUAUUUUGUUUAAGUUUUGAAAUAAACUCUGCAAAGUUUAAUUCAAAUAUUAAUUUAGGAUCUUUGGGGAUUGCCAAACCAAGAUAAGUAAAGUGAUCUUUAACUACUUUGAAUGGGACACUUUCCAAAAAACCCCACGUGUAGACGAUGGAUAGGGUCACGAAGUCACUUUUUGGCCAAUUGUUUGAGUAUCCCGAUAGUCUGCCAAAAGAGGUGAUUAAAUCUAGAAGAAGGGGGACUACCUUUUCUGAGUUUUGUAAGUAGAGUAUCACAUCGUUGGCAUAUAAACUAAUAAGUGUUUCAAUACCUCCCACUUUCAAACCCACAAUAUUUGGUUGACUUCUUAUUUUUAGGGCAAUGGGCUCUACCGCGACGGCAAAGAUGUAAUUGAAUUGAAUUGUCACCAUUAGUUAUAAUAAAACACAUUGGGCUGUUGUAUAUCAGUUUUACCCAGGAAAUAAAUGACUCGCUGAAUCCAAACCUGUACAGUGACUCAAACAUGUAAGGCCACUCAAUCUGGUCAAAAGCCUUCUGUGCAUCAAGGGAUAAAAUUGCUGCCCUACUAACUUUCCCAUGAUCAGCAUAUAUAGUAUUACAGAAGAAUCUGACAUUGGAAAAAGAGAAACUACCCGGAAUAAAUCCUGUCUGAUCAGGAUGAGUGAUAGAUGACAAAUGCUUAUUUAGUCGAUUAGCCAGCAUUUUAGUAAUUAUCUUUCUAUCGAAAUUUUGGAGUGCAAUGGGCCUACAGCUGGCUGGGUCUGUUUCCUUUUUACCUUUCUUUAAAAUGAGGGAAAUGUUAGCCUCGUACAAUGUUUUAGAUAAGACUUUAUCCCUGUUAGAGCAAGAUAUAAUUCUGAGGAGAAGUGGAGCAAGGAUAUCACAAAAUUUCUUAUAAAAUUCACAGCCAAAGCUGCCUUGCCGGACCGAAAUAACUUAAUGGCAGAAGUUAUUUCUUCCAAUGUGAAGUCAGAAUCCAGGUCCUCCCGAGCAGUGUCACUAAGUUUUGGCAUUACAAAAGAAUCAGAGAAGUCAUUCAAAUCAGAUUGAGUGGCAUUGCAUUUAGAAGUGCAGAGUUCACUGUAAAAUUCUUUUAAAAUCAUUUACCUCCUUGGAGUUAGUUAACAGGGUAUCCGCCCUCGAUCUAAAGCAAUGAAUUGACCUUAGGGCCUGGGUACCCCUACGCUGCUGCGCCAGAAGCCCCCCCCCCCAGGUUUGUCCUCCAUUUUGAAAUGCUUUUGUCUUAAUUUUAAGAGGAGGUUAUUUAUUUGACUACCCAAGAUACAAUUGUACUCGUAUUUAAGCUUCAUUAUAUUAUUAUAAUCUUCAGAGGAUUUCGAAGCCUGGUAUGUCGCUUCGAGGGUUGGGAGAGUAUUCCCAAUCUCUAAUAAUCGCCCUUCUCUCUCCCUCUUAGCAGCGGUUUCAUAUGAAAUUAUAUACCCACGAGUUACAACUUUUAAUGUCUCCCAGUGCGUGGAAUCUGACAG
Long non-coding RNA from Mobula hypostoma (lesser devil ray), 4996 nucleotides. RefSeq lists it as uncharacterized. The transcript has 5 exons. The record is from RefSeq and is a predicted model, not a curated record. NCBI's taxonomy places the organism in Eukaryota, Metazoa, Chordata, Chondrichthyes, Myliobatiformes, Myliobatidae.